CCUACGGGAGGCAGCAGUGGGGGAUAUUGCACAAUGGGGGAAACCCUGAUGCAGCGACGCCGCGUGGGUGAAGAAGCGCCUCGGCGCGUAAAGCUCUGUCAGCAGGGAAGAAAAUGACGGUACCUGAAGAAGAAGCCCCGGCUAACUACGUGCCAGCAGCCGCGGUAAUACGGAGGGGGCAAGCGUUAUCCGGAUGUACGGGGUGUAAAGGGGGCGCAGACGGCGGUGCAAGCCAGGGGGGAAAGCCCGGGGCCCAACCCCGGGACUGUCCUUGGAACUGGGUGGCUAGCGUGCAGGAGGGGCAGGCGGAAUGCCUGGUGUAGCGGUGAAAUGCGUAGAUAUCAGAAGGAACACCGGUGGCGAAGGCAGCCUGC
RNAcentral lists this ribosomal RNA (374 nucleotides) under uncultured bacterium. RNAcentral describes it as "partial 16S ribosomal RNA". It matches the Rfam family "Bacterial small subunit ribosomal RNA", at positions 338 to 729 of the family's 1533-position model. The record is from RNAcentral.